RNAcentral lists this ribosomal RNA (465 nucleotides) under uncultured bacterium. Its description in RNAcentral is "partial 16S ribosomal RNA". It matches the Rfam family "Bacterial small subunit ribosomal RNA", at positions 338 to 795 of the family's 1533-position model. The record is from RNAcentral.
CCUACGGGGGGCAGCAGUGGGGAAUAUUGCGCAAUGGGCGAAAGCCUGACGCAGCGACGCCGCGUGAGGGAUGAAGGUCUUCGGAUCGUAAACCUCUGUCAGCAGGGAAGAACGGUCACUGUGCUAAUCAGCAGUGAAUUGACGGUACCUGCAAAGGAAGCACCGGCUAACUCCGUGCCAGCCGCCGCGGUAAUACGGAGGGUGCGCGCGUUAAUCGGAAUUACUGGGCGUAAAGCGUUCGUAGGCGGUAUGUCAAGUCAAGGGUGAAAUCCCCGCGCUCAACGUGGGAACUGCCUUUGAAACUGGCAAACUGGAGUUUGUGAGAGGAUAGUGGAAUUCCAGGUGUAGGAGUGAAAUCCGUAGAUAUCUGGAGGAACAUCAGUGGCGAAGGCGACUAUCUGGCACAUAACUGACGCUGAGGAGCGAAAGCGUGGGUAGCAAACAGGAUUAGAUACCCCUGUAGUC